GGCUGUGGCUCAGUGGUAGAGCGGUCACCUAGCCUGCAUGAGGCACUGGGUUCGAUCCUCAGAGCCA
RNAcentral lists this transfer RNA (67 nucleotides) under Marmota monax (woodchuck). RNAcentral describes it as "tRNA.Undet". Lineage: Eukaryota; Metazoa; Chordata; Mammalia; Rodentia; Sciuridae. The record is from RNAcentral.